CGCGGCCUAUCAGCUUGUUGGUGAGGUAAUGGCUCACCAAGGCAUCGACGGGUAGCUGGUCUGAGAGGACGAUCAGCCACACUGGGACUGAGACACGGCCCAGACUCCUACGGGAGGCAGCAGUAGGGAAUCUUGCGCAAUGGGGGAAACCCUGAUGCAGCAACGCCGCGUGUGGGAUGACGGCUUUCGGGUUGUAAACCACUUUCAGUGAUGACGAAAAUGACGGUAAUCACAGAAGAAGGUCCCGCCAACUACGUGCCAGCAGCCGCGGUAACACGUAGGGACCGAGCGUUGUCCGGAUUUAUUGGGCGUAAAGAGCUCGUAGGCGGUUCUGUAAGUCGGAUGUGAAAACUCAGGGCUCAACCCUGAGACGCCAUCUGAUACUGCAGUGACUAGAGUCCGGUAGAGGAAGAUGGAAUUCCUGGUGUAGCGGUGGAAUGCGCAGAUAUCAGGAGGAACACCAAUGGCGAAGGCAGUCUUCUGGGCCGGUACUGACGCUGAGGAGCGAAAGCAUGGGGAGCAAACAGGAUUAGAUACCCUGGUAGUCCAUGCCGUAAACGUUGGGCACUAGGUGUGGGGUCUUCUAACGGAUUCCGUGCCGUAGCUAACGCAUUAAGUGCCCCGCCUGGGGAGUACGG
This 638-nucleotide ribosomal RNA is filed under the name uncultured Actinomycetes bacterium. RNAcentral's name for it is "bacterial SSU rRNA". It matches the Rfam family "Bacterial small subunit ribosomal RNA", at positions 232 to 885 of the family's 1533-position model. The record is from RNAcentral. Lineage: Bacteria; Bacillati; Actinomycetota; Actinomycetes.